Molecule: ribosomal RNA, 443 nt
Filed under: uncultured bacterium
Lineage: Bacteria
Description: partial 16S ribosomal RNA
Rfam family: Bacterial small subunit ribosomal RNA
Source: RNAcentral
CCUACGGGAGGCAGCAGUGGGGAAUAUUGGGCAAUGGGCGCAAGCCUGACCCAGCAACGCCGCGUGAAGGAAGAAGGCUUUCGGGUUGUAAACUUCUUUUGUCAGGGACGAAGCAAGUGACGGUACCUGACGAAUAAGCCACGGCUAACUACGUGCCAGCAGCCGCGGUAAUCCGUAGGUGGCAGGCGUUAUCCGGAUUUACGGGGGGUAAGGGGGGUGUAGGCGGGACUGCAAGUCAGAGGGAAAAACCACGGGCGCAACCUGUGUCCUGCAUUUGAAACUGUAGUUCUUGAGUACUGGAGAGGCAGACGGAAUGCCUAGUGUAGCGGUGAAAUGCGUAGAUAUUAGGAGGAACACCAGUGGCGAAGGCAGUCUGCUGGACAGCAACUGACGCUGAGGCGCGAAAGCGUGGGGAGCAAACAGGAUUAGAUACCCGGGUAGUC